This 279-nucleotide ribosomal RNA is filed under the name uncultured bacterium. Its description in RNAcentral is "partial 16S ribosomal RNA". It matches the Rfam family "Bacterial small subunit ribosomal RNA", at positions 506 to 784 of the family's 1533-position model. The record is from RNAcentral.
UGCCAGCAGCCGCGGUAAUACGGAGGGUGCAAGCGUUGCUCGGUAUCACUGGGCGUAAAGGGUGCGUAGGCGGGCUUGUGCGUCAGAGGUUAAAUCCCACGGCUUAACUGUGGAGCUGCCUUUGAUACGGCAAGUCUUGAGUGUGAGAGAGGAUGGUAGAAUUCCUGGUGUAGCGGUGAAAUGCGUAGAUAUCAGGAGGAAUACCAGUGGCGAAGGCGGCCAUCUGGCUCAUCACUGACGCUGAGGCACGAAAGCGUGGAGAGCGAACAGGAUUAGAUA